CCUACGGGAGGCAGCAGUGAGGAAUAUUGGUCAAUGGGCGGAAGCCUGAACCAGCCAAGUAGCGUGCAGGAUGACGGCCCUACGGGUUGUAAACUGCUUUUGUCGGGGAGCAAAAGACGCCACGCGUGGCGUUCCGAGAGUACCCGAAGAAAAAGCAUCGGCUAACUCCGUGCCAGCAGCCGCGGUAAUACGGAGGAUGCGAGCGUUAUCCGGAUUUAUUGGGUUUAAGGGGUGCGCAGGCGGAAGAUCAAGUCAGCGGUAAAAUUGAGAGGCUCAACCUCUUCGAGCCGUUGAAACUGGUUUUCUUGAGUGAGUGAGAAGUAUGCGGAAUGCGUGGUGUAGCGGUGAAAUGCAUAGAUAUCACGCAGAACUCCGAUUGCGAAGGCAGCAUACCGGCGCUCAACUGACGCUCAUGCACGAAAGUGUGGGUAUCGAACAGGAUUAGAUACCCGGGUAGUC
Molecule: ribosomal RNA, 459 nt
Filed under: uncultured bacterium
Lineage: Bacteria
Description: partial 16S ribosomal RNA
Rfam family: Bacterial small subunit ribosomal RNA
Source: RNAcentral